CUCUCAGCGUUGGCAACGUUGUUGAGCAAAAUGAAUGUUAAUACUUGAAGAGAAUGUAUUGAUUGACUCAGCCUCGAGCCCCGGUAAAACCAUCAAAAACCUAUUGUAGGAAAAAAAAUUGUGAUGGAAAGGGUACUCUGAUAGACGAGUUUUCUGAAGAUAAAGUUGAGUUGAAAUUUUGGAAUAAACAAAUUAGGCCCCAUUAGACUUCAUAAUGUCGACAAAGAAAAGAAACAAAAGUAUGUUGUAGAAGGAUUUGAGUAAGAGUAUUUGGGGGUGCAUUUGUGAGUAACACAACCUGAUAGAACGUUCAUUGAUUGAAUGAGAGGAAAUAAAGGAAAGAUUUUGCUUCAGAACUUUUGAAGAAAAGAAUUUUGUCGUCAAUAAUGAGGAAUUUAUGAUUUAUCGUC
Molecule: long non-coding RNA, 410 nt
Filed under: Malus domestica (apple)
Lineage: Eukaryota; Viridiplantae; Streptophyta; Magnoliopsida; Rosales; Rosaceae
Description: long non-coding RNA (MDOM_LNC021156)
Source: RNAcentral